RNAcentral lists this long non-coding RNA (330 nucleotides) under Musa acuminata (dwarf banana). RNAcentral describes it as "long non-coding RNA (MACU_LNC000830)". The record is from RNAcentral. Lineage: Eukaryota; Viridiplantae; Streptophyta; Magnoliopsida; Zingiberales; Musaceae.
GCACACAAUAAUUACCUGCUCUUUUUCAAUGAUAUCAAGACACUUUAACAUGGUCUGAUUCUGGUCUUUUCUGUGGAGUAACAUUCUCAUGGAAUGGCACCACAGAGCACACAAUAAUUACCUGCUCUUUUUCAAUGAUAUCAAGACACUUUAACAUGGUCUGAUUCUGAUCUUUUCUGUGGAGUAACAUUCUCAUGGAAUGGCACCACAGAGCACACAAUGAUACAUUCUUCUUAUGAGUUCCAUCUCAAGGAUAGACGUAACAAACUGAAGUAGAUGACAUACUUAACACUCUCACAAGCUCGAACAAUUAAUUAUAUGCGAUGAUGC